UCUCAUGUCUCGGCCUCUUGCGGGGUUUUAGUGAGCCGCCUCUUCCUGAGGCAGCUUCCCAAGACUCACCCACCGUCGAACUGGACUCCAUUUUGCAAGAGCUGAUGAGCCUGGGAUCAGAGAACGCGGCAUCGUCACAACUUUUACCAGAGCGGUCUGUUGAGAAGAAACCAAAAGACGGUCAACGGGAUUUCGAUGCAAAGGCUUCAGCCGGGAGCAAAGAUACGGACAGUAUCGAUGAUCUUCUCGGAGGGCUGAGCACUGACUUGGAAAAGAUUGGAGUCCACACAGCAGCCAAGGGCCGCUGCGCUGCCUGUAAUAAAGUGAUUGUGGGCAAGGUA
Molecule: long non-coding RNA, 341 nt
Organism: Hippocampus comes (tiger tail seahorse)
Lineage: Eukaryota; Metazoa; Chordata; Actinopteri; Syngnathiformes; Syngnathidae
Exons: 2
Source: RefSeq, a predicted model, not a curated record